Molecule: ribosomal RNA, 468 nt
Filed under: uncultured bacterium
Lineage: Bacteria
Description: partial 16S ribosomal RNA
Rfam family: Bacterial small subunit ribosomal RNA
Source: RNAcentral
GACGAACGCUGGCGGCGUGCUUAACACAUGCAAGUCGAACGGAAAGGCUCCAGGUUGCUGGAGUCCGCGAGUGUCGAACGGGUGAGUAACACGUGUGGGAUCUGUCCUGCACUUCGGGAUAUGACUGGGAAACUGGGUCUAAUACCGGAUAUGACCGCACUUUGGUGAGGGUGGUGGAAUGGAAUUUCUUGUGUGGGCUGGGCUCGCGGCCUAUCGGUUGUAUGGGGGAGUAAUGGCAUACAAGGACGGCGACGGGUAGCCGGCCUGAGAGGGUGGACGGGCACCAUAGUACUGCGAUACGGCGCAGACUCCUACGGGCGGCAGCAGUGGGGAGUAUUGCACAAUGGGGGCGACCCUGAUGCAGCGACGCUGCGUGCGGGAUGAACGCCUUCGGGUUGUAAACGCCUUUCGCUAGGGACGAAGCUUUUUGUGACGGUACCUUGAGAAGAAGCACCGGCUAACUACGUG